RNA transcript from Falco peregrinus (peregrine falcon), 1908 nucleotides. It is a transcript of the gene named low density lipoprotein receptor adapter protein 1-like, with no coding region annotated. The transcript is spliced from 8 exons. NCBI's taxonomy places the organism in Eukaryota, Metazoa, Chordata, Aves, Falconiformes, Falconidae. The record is from RefSeq and is a predicted model, not a curated record.
CCCGGCGCCUCCGCCGCUACUGACGUCAGCGCGCCGGGCGCAGCCGGGACACCCCCCCGUCUCCCCCCCCAGUGCCGGUACCGGUACCGGCAGGGCUCGGGCUCGGCUCUGCCAUGGAGGCGCUGCGGGCGGCGGGGCGCGCCGUGCUGCGGAGCCCGCGCCUCGCCCGGCACGGCCUGGGGCUCCGCCGGCGGCGCAAGCUUCCUGAGAGCUGGGCUGACAUGCAGGAGCCACUGCUUGAGGGGAUGUGCUUCACACUGAAGUAUCUAGGCAUGACACUGGUAGAAAAACCCAAAGGAGAAGACAUGGCUGCUGCUGCCAUCCGCAGGAUCGUGGCCACGGCACGGGUGGGAGCUCGCAAGUUCCAGAAGGUGAUUCUGACGGUGUCUCCGAGGGGCAUCUCGCUGCAGGAUGCAGACACAAAGGAGAUGGUUGAGAACAUCUCCAUCUACAGGAUCUCCUACUGCACAACAGACAAGCUGCAGAACAAAGUCUUCGCUUAUGUCGCCCAGAGCCAGGAGAGUGGGGCACUGGAGUGCCAUGCCUUCCUCUCGCCCAAGAAGAAGAUCGCCCAGGCUGUGACUCUGACUGUGGCCCAAGCCUUUCAGAUGGCACUGGAUCUCUGGGAAGCAGCACAUGCAGGCUCUAGGCAGGAACAGCCCCUUCACCCUUCAUGUGUCUUGGAGAGCAGUGAGCCCGGCAGACCAAGUGAGCCAGCCCCCCCGGGGAGCCCUCCCUUCAGACACCAGUUUGGGGUACAGUAUGUGCAAGCCUGGCCCAUGCCCAGGGCUGUCUCACAUCAGGGCAGGAAAAGAGUAACCCUUAUGCAGCUCCCUCCUUCUGGCCUGCCAGGACCCUGUCGAUACCUGCUCAGCCUCCCUUGCACUUGGUGGCCUGAUGUGAAAAAGGGCACUGUGCUCUGUCUGGCUCACAAGGCAGGUGCGGUUCCUCAGGUGAUCUUUGCUCCAGGAGCUCUCCUAUCAGGCUCAGCAUUGCUGCAGCUCUCAGCCCUGCUCUGCCGGCACUGUCAAAGAGGGAGCUGGGACUGGCUCUGCACACUUGGUGCCGUGGCUAGGGGUGAGACACUGUCUCUGAAGGAGAGGACCCUUUGGUUGUCGUCUUGCCAGCCUGAGCUAAGGCUCAGCCCUGUCCAUCUGCACUACACCUACUGCAUGGCCAGGGCCAGUCAGAGCAUUGCCAGUGUUGCCGGUCUCACUGUGUCCCUGCCCAGGAGCCUCUGGAUGCUUGGUCCUUGGCCUCAUGCUUCCAGUGCUGGCCCAGCCUGACAGUGCUUAGGGUCACGCUUGCUUGCAGCCUGCUCCUGGGUGCUCCUCUGCCUGGCCCUCCAGCUGCAAGAUGCACUUACCUGGCUCCUGUCUCUGGGCACAGGUGUGCUGUGUGCAGCAGCUGUCUGUGCUUGUUCCCUGCUCACAGCCCGUUUGGUGCUCUGUUGGCUGGAGGGGGUGUGAGAAUAGCCGUGCUCUGUCUCCCCUUGGUGUGGCUGCGUGCCUGAGCCCUGAAGAUUUCAGCAGCCCAGUGCUGCAGGUGCCACCUUUCCCCCUACUGCCUGUAGGCACCCUUUGUCUAUGCCAUGCCUGGUGGGUGACUGUGUCUUCUGAAGGGACCAGGGACUGCCCUGCUGCUCCAGAAUAGGCUCUGGGCUGCCCAGCCUUGCUCCUGGCAGAGACUUGCCAGGCAGUGAGGUGUCAUGGUGUUUUUUUUUUCUUUUUGGUUUGGUUUUGUUUUGUUUGUUUACCAGGAGGAGGAAGAGGAGGAGGAAGAUGAUAACAUCACUGAAACCUUAUCUGGCAUGGAGGAGCUGGGGAAGGGAUCCCACAGCCCAACAGAGUCAGCACCUCUUGUGCCCCGAGCAAGCUCUCCUACUGCACAGCUACUGUGCUACCGCCU